Xenopus laevis (African clawed frog) is the source of this 508-nucleotide long non-coding RNA. RefSeq lists it as uncharacterized. The record is from RefSeq and is a predicted model, not a curated record. NCBI's taxonomy places the organism in Eukaryota, Metazoa, Chordata, Amphibia, Anura, Pipidae. The transcript is spliced from 3 exons.
UGCUUUCCCUUGAAAAAAAGCAUAUCACAUUCUCUGUUUAACUCUGGCAGGCAUCAACACAAGAAAAGCUAUUCUACCUGCUGCUGUGUCUUUCUGACGGCUUGAUAAUGUCAAUCAAUAAUUCAAAAAUCUGUUGGAUGAAGCUCGCUUGUAUGGAUGGAUAUCGGAAAACUUGCUUUAUGUUGAACAUCUGAAUUCAUUGGUAUGGCAUAACAGCACCUGGCCUUCCCAGUAGGGCUUCAGGGAAUCAAAUUCGCUAAAAGGAAGUCUGCAAGUAAGAGCAUGUGCACAACCCAUGUCCCAGAGUGCUGGGCAGAUGGGGGGCAGUUUGCAGUUUUUGCAACCAGGUCAGUGGUCCCCUAGUUACCCUGCUGUAGAAAAGAAUUUCCUUCUUAAAUUAAAAAACGUCUUUAAUUAGAUAGUUUGCCCUAGGUAAUAUAAUCACUAAACAAAUCUGGUACAUCUACUUUUACAUAAACAAUGGCUACAACAGGGUGUCCAUCAAAUA